Molecule: long non-coding RNA, 665 nt
Filed under: Olea europaea subsp. europaea
Lineage: Eukaryota; Viridiplantae; Streptophyta; Magnoliopsida; Lamiales; Oleaceae
Source: RNAcentral
GCCACCUAGACCACCGAACUCCACCAUCAGUCAAACCUCCUCACCUCCCCCCAGUGGCGGCGCCACACUUGGGCACUUCAAAAACAGUGGACCACUUGAAUUUUUUGCACAAGCAAUCUAAUUGCACCCAUAAAUUAAUCAACUUCUGGGCGAAAUUCGGGUUGACCCAUGGCUGCACAAGGUGCACUAGGUGAAGAGGAGUUCAACCCAUGUGGUCCGCGACCAUGGGUCGAUCGGACAGCGUCGGAAUCUACAAAAAUCGGAUUCUGCUGGACAGGCUUCGCGACGCCCAAAAUUUCUAGGUUAAAUUUAGAUUUUUGAAUUGUUGUUUGUGUUAAAUUGGGACCAUGGUUCGGGUCAGUUUGUGGUGAGCAAUCGACCGAUGGUGAGCUCCGAUCAAGUUGGUGGCUGGAGGUGGAGUUUCUGGCAAUUUUCAAAGGUCCAAACAGCCUACUUUGUGGAUUGAUUCCUGCCAAAUCAAGUUGAGUUAUGGGGAGAUGUUGGUUAAGAAUUGAAGAGGAGGUUAAGGGCUUUCCGAUGGUCUUGGUGGCCAAAAAUUGCCAAAAAUUUGAUCCAUGAUGGCAGUGGGUGAAGGGUUGAUUUGGUGGUGGAGAUGGUUUUCGAAACAGGCUUGGGGUUUGGCCGACUGUAAACGCGUUUUCGAC